AUUCUUUUUAUACAAAAAGGCUGCCAUGGAUCAAGGAGAACAUUUGGAAGAUUGUCAGCCUAAAGGGGAUGCUGUUAGUAGGAGGGAUUCACCUCGUUCUAGCUUGAAAGGGUCCUUCGGAAGGAUUUGAUAAAUAGCUAGAAAUGCCAAAUUCCUCACUAAGAUGGCUGCUGAAUGCUUUGAAGAACUCUUUUAUAUACUAUGUAGAACAACAAUGUAUCCGAUUACAGACAAGGGAAGGAGGCUGACACAAAAGAAGACUGGCAACAUGCAAUUCUCA
Molecule: non-coding RNA, 280 nt
Organism: Pantherophis guttatus
Lineage: Eukaryota; Metazoa; Chordata; Lepidosauria; Squamata; Colubridae
Source: RefSeq, a predicted model, not a curated record